This 255-nucleotide ribosomal RNA is filed under the name uncultured bacterium. RNAcentral's name for it is "partial 16S ribosomal RNA". It matches the Rfam family "Bacterial small subunit ribosomal RNA", at positions 524 to 776 of the family's 1533-position model. The record is from RNAcentral.
UACGUAGGGGGGCCAGCGUUGUCCGGAAUCAUUGGGCGUAAAGCGCGUGUAGGCGGUCCGGUAAGUCCGCUGUGAAAGUCGGGGGCUCAACCCUCGAAUGCCGGUGGAUACUGCCGUGACUAGAGUCCGGUAGAGGAGCACGGAAUUCCUGGUGUAGCGGUGAAAUGCGCAGAUAUCAGGAGGAACACCAGCGGCGAAGGCGGUGCUCUGGGCCGGAACUGACGCUGAGGAGCGAAAGCGUGGGGAGCGAACAGG